UACGAAGGGGGCGAGCGUUGUUCGGAAUUACUGGGCGUAAAGGGCGCGCAGGCGGCCAGAUAAGUCAGAUGUGAAAGCCCCGGGCUCAACCUGGGAAUAGCAUUUGGGACUGUUUGGCUUGAGAUCGGGAGAGGAGAGUGGAAUUCCCAGUGUAGAGGUGAAAUUCGUAGAUAUUGGGAAGAACACCAGUGGCGAAGGCGGCUCUCUGGACCGAUACUGACGCUGAGGCGCGAAAGCGUGGGGAGCAAACAGG
RNAcentral lists this ribosomal RNA (253 nucleotides) under uncultured bacterium. RNAcentral describes it as "partial 16S ribosomal RNA". It matches the Rfam family "Bacterial small subunit ribosomal RNA", at positions 524 to 776 of the family's 1533-position model. The record is from RNAcentral.